GUCUCGGUGGUGUAGCAGUAGAAGCACGCGUCCCCGGCAUGGAUGAAACGCGGGUUCGAUACCCGCCUGAGGUC
Non-coding RNA from Parelaphostrongylus tenuis, 74 nucleotides. Lineage: Eukaryota; Metazoa; Nematoda; Chromadorea; Rhabditida; Metastrongylidae. The record is from the annotation of a GenBank genome assembly.